CCCAUUUCUCCUGCCUGAAUGUGCUGUACUCAUUGAUAUGCUACCCAUGAAAAAGUAUUUCCAGCUUCCGGUCAGGCUUUACAACUGCUUGUUAAAAGCCCGUGACCUCUGGAUAAGAGUGAAAUACCAAGCACUAAGGGAGGCUAGAGCCAUUCUUCAAUCAGGAACAAAUGCAUUCUAAACAAGGAUUAUGAGAAAAAGCAAUAAAGGAAGACAUCAAUUCUCAAGCGAAUAAUUUCUUCUAUAGAGC
This 250-nucleotide long non-coding RNA is filed under the name Homo sapiens (human). Its description in RNAcentral is "HSALNT0341765". Lineage: Eukaryota; Metazoa; Chordata; Mammalia; Primates; Hominidae. The record is from RNAcentral.